UNGCCCAAGAUACUAUCCUUCAGCUUUUAA
This 30-nucleotide non-coding RNA is filed under the name Mus musculus (house mouse). Lineage: Eukaryota; Metazoa; Chordata; Mammalia; Rodentia; Muridae. The record is from RNAcentral.